AACAACGAAGAGUUUGAUCCUGGCUCAGGAUGAACGCUAGCGGCAGGCUUAACACAUGCAAGUCGAGGGGUAACAGGAAUUGCUUGCAAUUCGCUGACGACCGGCGCACGGGUGCGUAACGCGUAUGCAACCUACCUUNUACAGGGGGAUAGCCCAGAGAAAUUUGGAAUAAUACCCCAUACGAUCAUUUAUUGNCAUCAAUAAAUGAAGAAAACUCCGGUGGUAGAAGAUGGGCAUGCGUCCUAUUAGUUAGUUGGUGAGGUAACGGCUCACCAAGACUUCGAUAGGUAGGGGUCCUGAGAGGGAGAUCCCCCACACUGGUACUGAGACACGGACCAGGCUCCGACGGGAGGCAGCAGUGAGGAAUAUUGGACAAUGGAGGCACCUCUGAUCCAGCCAUGCCGCGUGCAGGAAGAC
This 417-nucleotide ribosomal RNA is filed under the name Flavobacteriaceae bacterium. RNAcentral describes it as "bacterial SSU rRNA". It matches the Rfam family "Bacterial small subunit ribosomal RNA", at positions 1 to 412 of the family's 1533-position model. The record is from RNAcentral. Lineage: Bacteria; Pseudomonadati; Bacteroidota; Flavobacteriia; Flavobacteriales; Flavobacteriaceae.